This 1167-nucleotide ribosomal RNA is filed under the name uncultured Bacteroides sp. Its description in RNAcentral is "bacterial SSU rRNA". It matches the Rfam family "Bacterial small subunit ribosomal RNA", at positions 10 to 1177 of the family's 1533-position model. Lineage: Bacteria; Pseudomonadati; Bacteroidota; Bacteroidia; Bacteroidales; Bacteroidaceae. The record is from RNAcentral.
AGUUUGAUCCUGGCUCAGGAUGAACGCUAGCUACAGGCUUAACACAUGCAAGUCGAGGGGCAGCAGGAUCUAGCAAUAGAUUGCUGGCGACCGGCGCACGGGUGAGUAACACGUAUCCAACCUGCCGAUAACUCGGGGAUAGCCUUUCGAAAGAAAGAUUAAUACCCGAUGGCAUAAUUAGACCGCAUGGUCUUAUUAUUAAAGAAUUUCGGUUAUCGAUGGGGAUGCGUUCCAUUAGGCAGUUGGUGAGGUAACGGCUCACCAAACCUUCGAUGGAUAGGGGUUCUGAGAGGAAGGUCCCCCACAUUGGAACUGAGACACGGUCCAAACUCCUACGGGAGGCAGCAGUGAGGAAUAUUGGUCAAUGGGCGUAGGCCUGAACCAGCCAAGUAGCGUGAAGGAUGACUGCCCUAUGGGUUGUAAACUUCUUUUAUAUGGGAAUAAAGUUUUCCACGUGUGGAAUUUUGUAUGUACCAUAUGAAUAAGGAUCGGCUAACUCCGUGCCAGCAGCCGCGGUAAUACGGAGGAUCCGAGCGUUAUCCGGAUUUAUUGGGUUUAAAGGGAGCGUAGGUGGACAGUUAAGUCAGUUGUGAAAGUUUGCGGCUCAACCGUAAAAUUGCAGUUGAUACUGGCUGUCUUGAGUACAGUAGAGGUGGGCGGAAUUCGUGGUGUAGCGGUGAAAUGCUUAGAUAUCACGAAGAACUCCGAUUGCGAAGGCAGCUCACUGGACUGCAACUGACACUGAUGCUCGAAAGUGUGGGUAUCAAACAGGAUUAGAUACCCUGGUAGUCCACACAGUAAACGAUGAAUACUCGCUGUUUGCGAUAUACAGUGAGCGGCCAAGCGAAAGCAUUAAGUAUUCCACCUGGGGAGUACGCCGGCAACGGUGAAACUCAAAGGAAUUGACGGGGGCCCGCACAAGCGGAGGAACAUGUGGUUUAAUUCGAUGAUACGCGAGGAACCUUACCCGGGCUUAAAUUGCAUUUGAAUAAUCUGGAAACAGGUUAGCCGUAAGGCAAAUGUGAAGGUGCUGCAUGGUUGUCGUCAGCUCGUGCCGUGAGGUGUCGGCUUAAGUGCCAUAACGAGCGCAACCCUUAUCUUUAGUUACUAACAGGUCAUGCUGAGGACUCUAGAGAGACUGCCGUCGUAAGAUGUGAGGAAGGUGGA